GACGAACGCUGGCGGCGUGCUUAACACAUGCAAGUCGAACGGAAAGGCCCUGCUUUUGUGGGGUGCUCGAGUGGCGAACGGGUGAGUAACACGUGAGUAACCUGCCCUUGACUUUGGGAUAACUUCAGGAAACUGGGGCUAAUACCGGAUAGGAGCUCCUGCUGCAUGGUGGGGGUUGGAAAGUUUCGGCGGUUGGGGAUGGACUCGCGGCUUAUCAGCUUGUUGGUGGGGUAGUGGCUUACCAAGGCUUUGACGGGUAGCCGGCCUGAGAGGGUGACCGGCCACAUUGGGACUGAGAUACGGCCCAGACUCCUACGGGAGGCAGCAGUGGGGAAUAUUGCACAAUGGGCGGAAGCCUGAUGCAGCAACGCCGCGUGCGGGAUGACGGCCUUCGGGUUGUAAACCGCUUUCGCCUGUGACGAAGCGUGAGUGACGGUAAUGGGUAAAGAAGCACCGGCUAACUACGUGCCAGCAGCCGCGGUGAUACGUAGGGUGCGAGCGUUGUCCGGAUUUAUUGGGCGUAAAGGGCUCGUAGGUGGUUGAUCGCGUCGGAAGUGUAAUCUUGGGGCUUAACCCUGAGCGUGCUUUCGAUACGGGUUGACUUGAGGAAGGUAGGGGAGAAUGGAAUUCCUGGUGGAGCGGUGGAAUGCGCAGAUAUCAGGAGGAACACCAGUGGCGAAGGCGGUUCUCUGGGCCUUUCCUGACGCUGAGGAGCGAAAGCGUGGGGAGCGAACAGGCUUAGAUACCCUGGUAGUCCACGCUGUAAACGGUGGGUACUAGGUGUGGGGUCCAUUCCACGGGUUCCGUGCCGUAGCUAACGCUUUAAGUACCCCGCCUGGGGAGUACGGCCGCAAGGCUAAAACUCAAAGGAAUUGACGGGGCCCCGCACGAGCGGCGGAGCAUGCGGAUUAAUUCGAUGCAACGCGUAGAACCUUACCUGGGUUUGACAUGGAUCGGGAGCGCUCAGAGAUGGGUGUGCCUCUUUUGGGGUCGGUUCACAGGUGGUGCAUGGCUGUCGUCAGCUCGUGUCGUGAGAUGUUGGGUUAAGUCCCGCAACGAGCGCAACCCUUGUUCACUGUUGCCAGCACGUUAUGGUGGGGACUCAGUGGAGACCGCCGGGGUCAACUCGGAGGAAGGUGGGGAUGACGUCAAGUCAUCAUGCCCCUUAUGUCCAGGGCUUCACGCAUGCUACAAUGGCUGGUACAGAGAGUGGCGAGCCUGUGAGGGUGAGCGAAUCUCGGAAAGCCGGUCUCAGUCCGGAUUGGGGUCUGCAACUCGACCUCAUGAAGUCGGAGUCGCUAGUAAUCGCAGAUCAGCAACGCUGCGGUGAAUACGUUCCCGGG
RNAcentral lists this ribosomal RNA (1343 nucleotides) under uncultured bacterium. Its description in RNAcentral is "16S ribosomal RNA". It matches the Rfam family "Bacterial small subunit ribosomal RNA", at positions 28 to 1378 of the family's 1533-position model. The record is from RNAcentral.